Aegilops tauschii subsp. strangulata is the source of this 3527-nucleotide long non-coding RNA. RefSeq lists it as uncharacterized. The record is from RefSeq and is a predicted model, not a curated record. NCBI's taxonomy places the organism in Eukaryota, Viridiplantae, Streptophyta, Magnoliopsida, Poales, Poaceae.
ACUCCCCGCUGUUUUUUGUAUUAAACCCGCAGUCUUUUUCCAAUGUGUACUAAAAACGUUUCGUCCCCAGGAACAGACACGACCACGGGCUCUCCUCUCUCUCCCUUUCCUCCUGAUCCCAGCCGCCAGGAGGCGCACGACCUGCGUGACGGUCGAUCCGGUGUCGCGCCGGCCGCCUGCCGAUGUCCGACGCCGGUGAUCGGACCACACUUCACCACCGGUCUGCCUCAGCUGAUCCUUUCCUUCGCGCGCCCGAGCUUCUUGUUGUACGCCGCCCAGGAGGGCCCGCGCUCGCCGCUCGACCAGAGCCACCGCCCCAGCUGGUCCGGUGCCGCGCCGACCGCCGGCCGAUGGAUGACGGAGGUGAUCGAAGCAUCCUGCACCACCAGUCUGCUUCAUCUCCUCCUUUCCUUCGCGCGCCUGAGCUCCUCGUUGUAUGCCGCCCGGGAGGGCUCGCGCUCGUCGCUCUACCAGAGCCACCACCGGCCGGUCGUCGCUGCACUUUCCCGCGACCUCUCCGCCCCCUCUGCACCACCCUCCACCUCAAUUUAGACGCACAUGUGUUUGUGCAUGUCCUCAGUUAUUGUUUGCACACAAGGUGUUUGUGUGUUUGUCCUAGCCAGUUUCAGUCACAGAUCCUUGAGGUAAAUCCCACAUAUGAGACUAACUCUCCUUCCAUAUGAUUCAAAAAAUUGUAUGAUGGUAGGAUUUAAUUGGGUUACUAGAAUAAUGCGUUGCUAAUUAAUUUACAUCAUGUGGAAUCUCAAGACACAUGGGUACGCCGGCUCCUAUUGUUUGACAAAUGUAUAUCAAAUUUUCUUCAAUCGUAUAAAGAAGUUACAGUUAGGUGUUGCACUUUUUAUGCCUAGACACAGCAGCUCCAAUAAGAUCUGGGCGCUCAUGGUGAGAUAUAUUAAUUAUUCUUAUAAUGGUCAUAUGAAUUUGCAGAGACAAUUAGAUUUUGGAAGCAGGAAUCCUUUCCUCAUAAGAUGGAUGAGCUGUAGGAUUUGAUUCUGUUCAGCUUGGAUUAGUUUUUCAUCAUUAUGUUCUUUGUAUUAGGUAUUCAUGCUUUCCAGCUCUAAUUUUUUUGCAUUGUUGGUGUAUGCUGGGAGUCACAUUGCUAUGCAUGCUAGCAAACAAUAGGAUUGGAAGUCUUACCCUGUAGGUUAUUAAUAUAUUUUCCACUAUACUGAGGUUCAGCAAUUUAAUUCGUAUUAAGGUCACACAAGCAGUUUGGUUUUCAGAUUUGUAUUGACAAACAUAUUUGGUUCAGCAAUUUAAUUCGUAAUUAGAGUCACACAAGCAGUUUGGUUUUUAGAUUUGUCUUAACAAACAUAUUUUGCAGAUUAUCCUUGCAUAAGCAAUUGAUUUCUGCAAGUUCCUUUCACUUAUUUAUUUCUUCACUUGGUUAUGAUGUACUGCUAUUCGUUUUCAUGAUGAUCCAUGCAUUUUGUACUUUUCACUGACAAAAACUUCUCUCUAAACAAGAUUCGUUCCCAUUGUUACAGUGAAGUAGCUACCGAGCAGUGAGGCCAUCGAGCGACACGAGACCGCGGGACGGCGUGAGAAGAAGGGGGGGGUCUAGGGGGAUGGAGAAGACCACGAGGAAGUGUGGCGAUGGAGUGCAAUCCCGAAGAAGAAGAACAUUGCAAAGAAAGACCCUAGCCAAGCGCCACCCAAUUCUCUUUCACCGACCUAUCUAAUGGCCAUCAAUUCAAUUGGUCCAAGCUGCUGCGUUGACCUUCCCAUUGAUCCACUACAUCCUCGCUCAGUUGCUUCUGCUAUGUUUCUUCUCUCUAUGCCAUUGCCGGCUGCUGGCGUGCCUGACAUCGCACCUUAUGUGACCUAAUAUGAUGCUCCUCUACAUGUUCUUCUCACCCCGGUUUUCAUGAGGAGAGAUAUUGUUCUGCGGUUCUGUAGCUCUACUCCAUAGCAAUGAUGGAGUCGCCUCCAGAUGGAUAGCAAUUAUCUCGGAUCAUGAGCUGUCUACGCAACGACCAGGGGCAUAUCCUUCUCCUACCACUAACACCUUCAUCCUAUUUGAGCCAAAAUGGCUUUGGUGCCCUCUCUCUCUCAUGGUGAGGCUGUGCACGCUUGCCAUGGUUGUGGCUACGAAAUCUCACACUGAGUCGCUUCGGUCGGGCACUAUUCAGGUACAACUCACUUUGCUCCACCAUUGUUGGUUGCUGUACAUCACAUGCUUGACGAAACUUCAAAGAUGGUGUUGAUCUUGUUCUUGCUUGACCAUCCUUGUUAUAAAUCAUUAUUGGGUUCUAGCUAGGGUCUUAGCGAUUGAUAAUUUCUCGAUUAUAUUGCCGAAAAUGUAGUUCUUAUUGUCAAAUUGUUAUGGCAGCAUGAGUGAAAAUAUGUUCCUUUUAAAUGCUUAGAUUCUAUAGAAACCUCUGGUCUAUAUCCUAAAUUACUGUAUUGUGUGCUUUUGUAAAAUAAACUGUAUUGAUGCAAUUUAUAUAUGUAGUACAAUGGUUUUACUCACAUCACAAAUAUCUGACAACAAGAGUGGUCCCGAGUUAACUUGCAACCAAAACAUUUAAAUUCCAGUUCAACAUUGCAUAUUCCUAUCUAAUAAACAGUCAAAUGUUUCAGACUAAAGUGAGAGUUUCUAGCAUAUUCCUCUUUUACGGUGACGCCAGAUUCGAAUUUGAAGGCGUACUUGUCCCUGAGCUGGUGGUGCCUGAGAACAACAACGACAACAUUCUGGUGCAUCAGGGGCACACAUCGUCUCCAAGCUCUGUCGCAAGCAACGCAGGCACGCCUCAGGCUCAAAGUCCGGUUGCUGUGCAGGCGAGCGGCAGCAGCCACUUACGUCUCUUCUAAGAAGGGCGCCGCCUUGGAGGAGCAUAAUGAGAGAAGCAAGUCGACACCGACUACAGCGGCGCAUGAGCCAACAAAGGGGCAGGAUCAUUGGAGACGACGGACACAGAGGCGCGUGCUAGGCAUGCCAAUCAUCAAACACUAGGGAGCGAUCCCACCCCCGAUGCCACAGUACAUGCAGUCGUCGCUGCCGCCUCUACAUGCCAUGAUCUACAGGCAAGUGCCUGCUCAGCAACGUACAAGAGAGGUCAGCGUGGGGCCUACUCGCCAAGAUGAUGCUUCUCUUCUCGUGCUUAUUUACUUGCCUUCUAUGUGUGACGAGAAGGAGCAGGAGAUUCAGAGGCUCAGGUUGGCAUCGCUAGGUGAGUUCCCUGCUGAUUUGACGAGCACGUGAUAUAGACUGUGGUCGGGUUCCUUCCUAACUCUGCUGGGCCUAAUGAAGAGAAAGAAUCAACUUUUGAGCUUAAUUGGCUAGAUCCAACCAGGCAGCUGCACAACAUUGUCAAGGAGAAGAUGAGAACAAUGCGAUGCUCAAAGAAGCAGGCUCUAGUUUUGGUAAAUGAGUAGUGAUGUUGUUGCAACCACCGAAACAAAUCUGAAAAAUAAGACAAAGACAAACAGGUUGAGAGGUUGGAUAAUGAUAUGGAAGAUCAAGUUAAAAAACAAAUUAUUGAUGCCCCUGCAAGCAAAGUAAA